CUCUUUGGCUGCGAUCCGCCUACGAGUAUGUAGUUGUAUGGUGGGGAUGAUAUCUUGGGCCUUAUUUGUGAGUGGCCGAGAUGCGGGAGACACAAGGUGGCUAUGGUGCUGGCCGAAAGCCAUCAACUCUGCAAGAGCGCCGUGAAGGUUAGCGCGACGACCACCAUGUAAAGCCGAUACGGUGUUGGGCGGCGUGACGCAAGUUCGCCACCGCUGGGUCGGAUGGUGAGUGACACCUCUGGGGUUACACUAGAUUUUUGGGCUGUGAAACUCCAUGUAUCUUUGGGACCUGCCGCCUGUGGCAGUCUCCCUUCCUAGCCAUGGAAGAGCAUGUUCUUGUUAUUGGCAAAGCUGUCACCAUUUCAUUGGUACCAGAUUCUGACUUGAGCAAGUGACAUUCUAAGAUUGUAAGAGUCUACACGACGCUAGAAAAAUGGACUUCAGUUUUCUAAACUAGUAUUGAAAUAUUUCUAGGAAACGCCGGGACCCGUUGCUGUUGAACAGUGGAGGAAGUGUUAAGGUAAGAUUCAUUUUUGUGGUGUUUUCGCGGUUCUGGGUAGUGAGUGGGCCUUUACUGUUAGGGUGAAGUUUGCUCUUGUGCUGACAUUAACAUAAGUAAACAGCCCGUAGUAUAGUCACGGAUAUUCUGUAAUGGGCCUUUUUUUUUUUCUUGCAGGUACUGUAGUGGUUGAGAUCGUCUCUGGUCAACUUACAGGGAAUCUUCGCUUUUAAUUUUUGAAAAUUGAAUAUUUUAUAUUAAAUAAAAGAUGUUUGGUGUGUAAUAA
Molecule: long non-coding RNA, 785 nt
Filed under: Mus musculus (house mouse)
Lineage: Eukaryota; Metazoa; Chordata; Mammalia; Rodentia; Muridae
Description: small nucleolar RNA host gene 8 (Snhg8)
Rfam family: Small nucleolar RNA SNORA24 (bases 271-400)
Source: RNAcentral